RNAcentral lists this ribosomal RNA (449 nucleotides) under uncultured bacterium. RNAcentral describes it as "partial 16S ribosomal RNA". It matches the Rfam family "Bacterial small subunit ribosomal RNA", at positions 29 to 523 of the family's 1533-position model. The record is from RNAcentral.
AACGAACGCUGGCGGUAUGCCUAACACAUGCAAGUCGAACGAGAUCUUCGGGUCUAGUGGCGCACGGGUGCGUAACGCGUGGGAAUCUGCCCUUUGGUUCGGAAUAACAGUUGGAAACGACUGCUAAUACCGGAUGAUGACGAAAGUCCAAAGAUUUAUCGCCAGAGGAUGAGCCCGCGUAGGAUUAGCUAGUUGGUGUGGUAAAGGCGCACCAAGGCGACGAUCCUUAGCUGGUCUGAGAGGAUGAUCAGCCACACUGGGACUGAGACACGGCCCAGACUCCUACGGGAGGCAGCAGUGGGGAAUAUUGGACAAUGGGCGAAAGCCUGAUCCAGCAAUGCCGCGUGAGUGAUGAAGGCCUUAGGGUUGUAAAGCUCUUUUACCCGGGAUGAUAAUGACAGUACCGGGAGAAUAAACUCCGGCUAACUCCGUGCCAGCCGCCGCAGUAA